UAGGCCGCCAUUUUUGUUAAGGGAAAGUUGCCCUCGCAGGUGCCAUCUUGUGGAGGGGCAGAUCCUCACACCUCAGCAAGGCGUGGACAGAGCGCGGGCGGACAGUUUGAGAUGCAGCUCCGGUAUGCUGCAGGGUUUCCCUUUGCACGUGGAAAUGGCUCGUGGUUAGGGACAGGAGCCGUUACGGAGGUAUGUACACACUUAAAACUGAGAAAUGAAAUUUCUGCCAAGACAUCUUGCCAUUGCAAUAAACUGAUGAGCCUUGGUUGGAGCAGCGAGGUAUCCAUCAAAGAACGAACCACGGAUUCUGCUAUUUGGAAGUACUGCCUCAGGACCUGGUGAAUGUUUGUGAUGGAUGAACAGGUGUCUCAGACAGCUGCACAUCAGCCACAUCUGUGGAAGUCUGGAGCACACUGAGGAUAGUCCUGUCAGGAGGACAGCAAUGAAUGUACAGCGGUACCACUUUAAUAUCAGGUAUUAAUCUUUAAUUUCACAUCACAGCAGUCGAGUGAAUGGGUAAGGGAAAGAAAUCCAAAACAAACAGCGGAUAUUUACAUCUAAAAUUCACACCACUUAUUUGUUGAUUCUGGAAACAUGCUAUCACAAUAUAUACAAUGAAGUACCUUUAGGACACUUGUACAAAUUAUUUUUUUCCUUUUCAAUUUGAUUUCCAUUAUAGAUAAGAUAGCUGUUCUGAUUUUAUUUUAAACAUGAAUACACAAAAGAGAAGUGGUUAGAGGUUUUUGCCUGUUUUAAAUAAGCACAGAAUGCCAGAGGUUAAAAACACAUUUACAGGGCAGAAUACCAGUCGGACAUCACAAUCUAUACAUUUUUUGCUCAAUUUCCUGUACAAAUACACAGCAUUCAAAUGGGGGUAUUUACAAAGAAGCAUGAAUAGAAGAAAUACCGCUUAAUUUGUUUACCAAAGGCUCUUGCCCUCUCCAGCCUCCCCAGUUUUGGCUGAUUCUCCCAAAACAGGGAUAUGGGAUAUCCCUUACCUGAAAAAUGGUAAGCAGGCUAAAAAGUAGAUGAAGGAAAGGAUAGAUAAGAAUCAUAGUUUUGCACGCAGCAAUAAAACCAACCCAGCCAUUGAAAAAAUUUGUAGGAUUCAGACAACAAUUCUAAUUGGUCUUCUUCUAUUACUGUAGUUUCUUCUCACUUUUGUUUCAGAUGGGGCCUGCAGGUACGCUCAUGAUGGAGAGAUGUGCUGCAGAAUUCCAAUUGUUUCAGGAAUGCACAUGCUGUUCUGUUAUGCAAAGAAAACCCAAGGAAGGCAAGGAUGCAUUACAUCUGAAUCAGUUACGUACAGAACAAAUGGGUCCUGUUCAAACAUCCUGUUACUGCGGUUUAUACAAAGAAUCUUCAAAUCUUGUUGCACCAGUGCAACAACUGCAGUUGCUUCCACCUGCUCCAGGACUGAGUUUGCUGAUGGAGUUGCACUAUACUAGAAAGCCACCCCACCCUCCAGAGAAGUAUUAGUUCCAUGAAGUACUUGUUCCACAUUCACAAAACCUAACAGCAGUCUACCUUCUGCACCCUUUAAGUUAAGCACUGAAAAGGGCGACAGAAUGUGUAGUAGAUAACAGAACAACAGAAAGUUAACUCCACACAGGCUCAAAUUUAGUAAAUUCAGUCAUUUAUUCCAUCCUCCUUUGUGUGCACCUGCCAUAAAUUGGAUAUUUGUGUACACCAUUUGAUUAUCUUCAACCCCCUAUGAAUACAUUGUAAUGACAGACACUCAGAAUGGUCAGGCUGCUGUUGUACAGCCCCUCUAAUCAGAGCAAGGUGGUGCACUGCCAGAGACUGAUGGGAGCUCCAGGGCAGGUCUUCCAGCAGAAUGGGACUUCGCCCCAUGUUAUCUGCAUUCUUGCUUUUGCAGUUUUAUUUGCAGGACCUGCUGUUUUUUUUGUUUUGUUUUUACAAUGAAGAAGUUCAGUAUAUCAGUACAUUUACUACUUUCAGAAGUAAAUUUUCUACCAAAAAAAAAAAAACAAAAAAAAAACCCCAAACCAACCAAAACCAAAUGUGAUUAGGGAAAUGGAAUUGAGUACUUAAUUCUCUUAAAAGUUUCUAAGAAUCUCAAAUUAGAGAAUAACAUAAAAAUUUUUCACUCACUUCUAAGGAAUUACCUUGACUUACCUUCAUUGAAAACAUAACUCUGAAUUGAGCUUUCAUACCUGUGUGCUAUACCAGAGACCCAGCUUGGUUCAUUAGCAGCUAGGGCUAGUCCUACUACUGGAAAACUCUUGCUCCUGUUAGAGAUGAAAUGGCCACCAUGUGCCGGAUUUUAGUAUCAUUCUCUUCUUAAUUGUGAAGGUUGCAGGGAUUACAAACAGCCUAUGCUAAUAACAAACUAGAGGAAGCACAAGAGACUUUGUUCCAGCCAAAUGGACCAUUUAAGAAACAAAACCAUAAUUUAUUACUUUUGUAUGGACUAGAGCUUGAAAAAGAAAAAAAAGAGACAUCCUCUUAAAAUCCCCUUCAUACGACAGCUGACCAAGCCCAGACUUUGUACAGAUGAGAUGGUCUCAUCUUUAGGAGAGUCCAGAAGCAACAUUCUCUGCCCAGUCACUGUAUUUAGAGGUAGUGCUAAAGGUGACCUGUAAAAGAUGCGUAUCCUUUUUUGCUUCUUUAUGCUGUUUGUAGCAGGAGAAACUGAGUGACUAGGGGAAGAAUGGGACACGUUGAUGCUAUCCCUGUUUCUGACACUAAUUUACAUGGUGGAGGUAAGUCUCUUGUUUGAAUGUGCUUCAGUUUUUUCAGUGGUAACUUACCAUAUUCUGGAGUGUGCUUUGCAGUCUGCAGGUAGAAAUGAAUGUAAGGAAAGGCCAAAAUGUGUGGUGGCACAGCAGCAGGAAAGAGCAUUACUUCUUUAUAUAAAAACACUAGAUACCUGCUUUUUUUGAUCAAGUUUCUUGAAAAAUAUGAAAAUAGGAAUAGAGGAUUUCUUCUAGUUCUUUUUACACCACAGGUCUUGCCUCUGUUAUCACAGAACUUUUUCCUGUCUUGUAAUGUAACUCAACAAAGCAAAUACUGAUUAAAAGGCUUGCUUCACACAUAUAUGUUUGUACUGACUCCACUUCUGCAUAGUUCUGUUUCUUGUUUUUGUUUGAUUUUUUUUUCUUUUUUCUUUUUUUCUAAAUCUCCCACCUGCACUGAAUUCUUCAUCCCUUUCUGGAGCCUGACCAUAAAAAAAAAGCCAGGGGGGGAAGGCUGUAUCACCACACGAAGAGAAAAGAACCAAAACCUUCAAAAAGAGAGAAGGAGCUCUUAUAACUUCUUCAUACUUUCUAAAGAAGCAAAGGAAGAAAGAAAUGUUCCUUCUUUACAGGUUGCCUUUAAGAUUUCUGACUCUAGGGUGCACGCUACACUGGGCAUUUCUUGCAUCUGCCUAUUGUGAAAGAUGGACAUCCUCCACACCAGCUGCAGUGACUUUUGGAGGGGGGCUGAGGAAUGAUGGUUUUGGGUAAUGGAUCUCAGCUCCUGGGUGAUGGAAGUUAGUGAGAACUGUGAUGUUCAGCCCUGAGGCAAGGAGUGGUGGAUGUUAUGCAUCUAAGCCACAUUUUCUUAACUGGUGAGUCAUCAACCAGCUGUGGCAUGAAGAACUUUUUAUUUUCUUUUAACUGGAAUAGAAAUGCUGGUGUUGACAGCCUGCCGAAAGCUGGGCAUGGGAAAGGCCUACAAUCAAGUCACAGCUCCAGUGGCUACUAACCUCCCCCUCAUCCUGUAGCACAGAUGAACAGCAUGACUCCAUUGAGAAAGCAGGUUGGUUUAGCCAGUGAAAGCAAAUUUUAAGAAAUCAAACAGUACAUAAAAAACAAAGGAGGCAGAGUUUGUUGGAAAUGGUAUCUUGGACAUCAGUGCAUCAGCACUGGUUAGAUUGCCUCAGCACCUAUGAACCAAUGCAGGGAGAUCACUGCACAGAUAUAUACAAUCCUGCUCUCAAAAGAGCCAAUAUCUUCUUAGAAUUGCCAUCUUUCCACUGCCUGCUGGUCAUGCACCUUCCAGACUGACAGUUCAUAAAAUCCCUGAUUUCAGCAAUGAGCUUUCACUUCUGUACAGCAAUAAAAUAUGUCCCUAGUGCAACCACUUCUACUCAAGUGUGUCCCAGAGCUGGGAGGAAAGUAGUUUCAAAAUCAGCUUGCCACCUUUUCUCCUUCCUCCUCUGCUUAAAAUUGUAUUUUUCAGCUUCUGCAAGUCUCUAUGGCUUGUGUGCCAUGUGGUGCGCUUAAGAAACUGCAGAAGGAAUAACCAUCCACUGCACAGAAAGUUAAAAAAAAUGUAACGGAAAGGUGUAAAAAGAAAUUCGAAAGGAAAGCAGCAAUGUCCCUUGCUGGCCCAGUUGUGUAUGCGGGCUCCAGCCAAGCUUGUGGCAGUAGAAGUCAGCUUGCUGUUCUCUGAGUCCUCAGCUCUGUGCUCUGGUCACACCUGGAAU
Non-coding RNA from Phasianus colchicus (ring-necked pheasant), 4435 nucleotides. The record is from RefSeq and is a predicted model, not a curated record. NCBI's taxonomy places the organism in Eukaryota, Metazoa, Chordata, Aves, Galliformes, Phasianidae.